CAUAUAUCUGUUUUAUUUUUGUUUCAGGAAUAUAAUCAUAUUUGUUGAAGUCCACUUCUCUUGUUGUAGAUAAGAACUUGCUGAGUCAGGUUGCCAUUGAUAUCAUUAUCAAAGGAGACAUCGAAUUGCCCAAGCCAGAUGGAUGUCAUUUGACUCUAGGCGAAGUUGGAAUUAGCUCAUUUGUUGCAUGGCGUCAUUACUUUACUGAGUUCACCGAUUAGCGACAAUACUUUUUGGGACACUUAACCUUUUUGGACUGUAUAUAUGUUUUGAUUGUAUAGCGUACUUGAUUAGUUGUUUCUAUAGAUUGGACAUGAUAGAUGUAAUGCAGGCUUGUGACAAAUGUGUUGACGGCUUCGAUCAUCACUGCAUGGUAUCUGUAUAGGAGAGAUUUGCUUCUUGCAUUAAAGUUCAAUAUCAUGAAUGAUUAUAUGCUAUCAGGUUUGUCAAUUCAAGAGUUCAAUAUCAUGUUGUUUAUCUAUUGAUCGUUUGGCCUGAAACAUCAGAUUGCUUGAUGGGUUUUGAUUUUUAAGCUUUUUCUGAAAAAUUUUCAACUGACAAUCAUGUGAGUUGUAAAAUCUUAUGAUCAGUUUCAACGUCCUACCUUCAUCACUCUUUUCUAGAUAAUAUCAUUAUCUGGAGGGUUGGCUAUUCCUUCUGAGUUGGAUUUGGACUUU
Magnolia sinica is the source of this 677-nucleotide long non-coding RNA. RefSeq lists it as uncharacterized. The record is from RefSeq and is a predicted model, not a curated record. NCBI's taxonomy places the organism in Eukaryota, Viridiplantae, Streptophyta, Magnoliopsida, Magnoliales, Magnoliaceae. The transcript has 3 exons.